RNAcentral lists this ribosomal RNA (810 nucleotides) under uncultured bacterium. Its description in RNAcentral is "bacterial SSU rRNA". It matches the Rfam family "Bacterial small subunit ribosomal RNA", at positions 8 to 796 of the family's 1533-position model. The record is from RNAcentral.
AGAGUUUGAUCCUGGCUCAGAAUCAACGCUGGCGGCGUGCCUCAGACAUGCAAGUCGAACGCGAAAGCCCCCUUCGGGGGGCAAGUAGAGUGGCGCACGGGUGAGUAACACGUAGGUAAUCUACCUUUGGAUGGGGAAUAACAACCGGAAACGGUUGCUAAUACCGCAUAAUGCAGCGGCACCUAAUGGUGACAGUUGUUAAAGCGGGGGAUCGAAAGACCUCGCGUCUGAAGAGGAGCCUGCGGCGGAUUAGCUAGUUGGUAAGGUAACGGCUUACCAAGGCGAUGAUCCGUAGCCGGCCUGAGAGGGCGGUCGGCCACACUGACACUGACAUACGGGUCAGACUCCUACGGGAGGCAGCAGUCGGGAAUUUUGGGCAAUGGGCGAAAGCCUGACCCAGCAACGCCGCGUGAAGGAUGAAAUCCUUCGGGAUGUAAACUUCGCAAGAACGGGAAGAAUAAGUAAGGGUUAAUAUCUCUUACGAUGACGGUACCGUUUGUAAGCUCCGGCUAACUCCGUGCCAGCAGCCGCGGUAAUACGGGGGGAGCAAGCGUUGUUCGGAUUUACUGGGCGUAAAGGGCGCGUAGGCGGCCACCGCAAGUCGACUGUGAAAUCUCUGGGCUUAACCCAGAACGGUCAGCCGAUACUGCGGGGCUAGAGUGCAGAAGGGGCAACUGGAAUUCUCGGUGUAGCGGUGAAAUGCGUAGAUAUCGAGAGGAACACCUGCGGCGAAGGCGGGUUGCUGGGCUGACACUGACGCUGAGGCGCGAAAGCUAGGGGAGCGAACGGGAUUAGAUACCCUAGUAGUCC